UGGGGGAUAUUGCACAAUGGGCGAAAGCCUGAUGCAGCGACGCCGCGUGGGGGAUGAAGGCCUUCGGGUUGUAAACUUCUUUUGCUCUGAACAAGGCAUGCUAAUGGGUGUGUUGAGUGUAGGGGUUGAUUAGCGCCGGCUAACUACGUGCCAGCAGCCGCGGUAAUACGUAGGGCGCGAGCGUUGUCCGGAAUUAUUGGGCGUAAAGGGCUUGUAGGUGUCUGGUUGCGUCUGUCGUGAAAGCUCAUGGCUUAACUGUGGGUUUGCGGUGGGUACGGGCUGGCUUGAGUGCAGUAGGGGAGGCUGGAAUUCCUGGUGUAGCGGUGGAAUGCGCAGAUAUCAGGAGGAAUACCGGUGGCGAAGGCGGGUCUCUGGGCUGUUACUGACACUGAGGAGCGAAAGCAUGGGGAGCGAACAGG
Molecule: ribosomal RNA, 419 nt
Filed under: bacterium
Lineage: Bacteria
Description: partial 16S ribosomal RNA
Rfam family: Bacterial small subunit ribosomal RNA
Source: RNAcentral